This 3533-nucleotide unclassified non-coding RNA is filed under the name Lytechinus variegatus (green sea urchin). RNAcentral's name for it is "centromere protein I-like, transcript variant X1". The record is from RNAcentral. Lineage: Eukaryota; Metazoa; Echinodermata; Echinoidea; Temnopleuroida; Toxopneustidae.
GAUAAACGAGAUUUUGAGUAAUGCGCGAGAUAUGAAUGGCGCGCGCGAUCGUACCGUUAAUUUAAAUUAACGUUAGCUUUUUAGCUUCAAGUUCAGAAAGAGUUUGAGAUAGCCCAUGAAGAUGACAAUAAAUUUGUCCUGAGCAUCAACCACAUCCAAUGAGCAACCCGAAAUGGCUGCCAAGUCAGCGCAAAGUGGUACCCCUCACAACUCCUUGGUGAAAUCCCCGAGGAAGAAGGAAAAAGAGAUUUCAAAACAACUUGAAGAAGCCAUUAAAUUCUUUAAAGAUCCGGCAAGCGACACUAGAGUUCGGGCCAACAUCAAGCUGAGCAAUGCCCUAGAUGCCAUCACUAAAGAAGCUCAAAGGAACGGCUUGAGUGAGGGGAUCAUCCAAGAUCUUGUUGAUAUAGCAGCGUCAGGAAAGUUUGCUGACUCAACAAGUUCCCGUCUGAUCAAACACCUACUACCAUCGGAUAGCAUCCCUGAGGAUGCAGCCAUACAGAGCAUAUCAUGGAUGUGCACCAAUAAACCAUCUCAUGAAAUUCAGGCAUUGCUCCUGAAGUGGAUUAUAUUGACCUUUGACCUUUUAGAUGGAACAGAGAAGCUACAUGCCUUAUAUGGCAUGAUCUUUUACUUUAUUGAGAAUGAUACAUUGUGUCCGCAUGCCUGCCAUCUGUUGUAUCUAUUGACAAGAAAAGAGGAUGUGAUUGAUCAUCGAGUAAGGAAACUCCUUAGUGUACAAAGGAGAGUGGGUACCCAACCUCACAUAACAGGUCUUCUAUCAAUCUACAAGGUUUUCGCUCCUCAUCUGGUUUCACUGUCCCUGCCGUCAACCCAGAGGGUGUACUUCAGGUUGACGGAUCGCAACUGGACGUCGGAGGUUCGCAAGGCGAGAGAGAGGAUCCAAGAGAGGAGACCUGCCAAUACGAGCAUGCACAGGAAUACAGCACACAGAACUAUUACAGAUACAACAAUGGUGCGGAAGAGAAGGAAGCUGAACCCUGUACCCGACCUGCGCUCUGCUUACACGACCCUUGACCCCAGGGCAGAGGUCAUGACCAAAGUACCCCUGGAGCAGGUCAAGUCUUUUGAAGAAUUUCUAGACAACUUUGAUCAUCUUGAGCUCCCAAGCCAGGCUGCAGCUGUGUUAAGGUCGCCAGUCUUGCAAUAUCUUCUUACUUGUCGAAGAGAUCAAGCCACUACCCAAAGACUCAAUUUCUGGCUCUCUCAGAAGUUACAAACAGAACUAAUGGACUCUGGAGGUUGCAAUGAGAGAACAGAGCAGCUCCUCCAGCUCCUUAUCAAUUUCAUGGAUUUUAUUCAGGAGAGUGUCCCGGUUUGUGAACAGUUCUUGACAAGGUAUCUACUGACUUGGAAUGGUCAAGAUUACAGGCCUUACAUACUCAAGAUGAUCAGCAGAUUUAGGAUAUACCCUUUCCAUGUUAUCAAUGACCUGGUCCUUGAACCUCUCAGGACUCUAUUCUUCAGUUCUUCCGUCUACUUCAAAUGCCAGAUCCUUCACACCUUGACAGAACUGCUAAGGAAUUAUGUAACCCAUGAGAUAAGUCGCUACCAGGACACGGCACAGAGACAGAAGGUCCAAGAGACGGAGAAGGUCUUGUUGGACGAUGAAGUAGAUGCAACCUCUCUUCAUUCAAGUUCUUCUGUGUUCUCUGUUCGAGUGGCGUAUUUUGACCCAGUUAUCACAGUGAAGAAGCUGGUAGAGUUUGUUGAUGGACUCUGUUCGGUAGCUCUUCAGAUCCAUCAUCAUCAUUCUCUUCUAUUACAUCAUACACUAACCUUCUUUGAACUAGUGUCAUCUGUGUACACAAAGCACGGUGUCGUCUUUUCCCAGAUUCCAUCCAAGAUAAUCUUCUAUUGGGCCAUGUUUGGUAUUGACCCAACAGCAUGCUCCAGAAUAUGCCAAAUAAUCUGCGAUUACAAGACAGUAUAUACUGCAUUGCAUGCAGAUGAUGAUGUCCACCAGCAGUGGGGCGAGAUUAAGAAGGGCAUCAACGAACUGAACAGCAUCAUCCUAACGCUCUGUAACUGUUUAUGGAGGACCAAGGCCUUUGAAACCAACAUGGAUCAUGGCGUUACCAUGGAGACCAUAGAAGCCACUGGGUUACCCUACCCCAAUAAGAUAUUCUCCAUGCAAGGCAGCCUGGCCCUGGUUUGCUUCUGUAAGAAGUUCUUUGAGGAGACUCAACCAGAAGGUAAGAAAGUAGACCCGAAGAUGAUCAAGAGUGCUCACAAAUCAGUCUACAUGGAAUUCUUACAAAGGGAGAGGAUGGAUGGGAUUGUCAACUUCAUCCAGACGUUCAUCCGACGGACAGGAGGAAGUCAGACCACAAUCAGUAAUAUUGAUCAAUCCAGCAUGCAAGGUUAAUAAGAACUUAAGAAGAGUGGACAGUAUUGAGACGUUCAUCCGAUGGACGCGAUCAAUCUAGCAUGUAAAGUUUACAAAAACUUAAGAAGAAAUGACAGUAUCGAGACAUUCUUCCGACGGACUAGAGGAAGUCAGACCACAUUCGGUAAACUUGAUCAAUCUAGCAUGCAAGGUUAACAAGAACUUAAGAAGAGUGGACAGUAUCGAGACGUUCAGCCGAUGGACAGGAGAAAGUCAGACCACAUUCAGUAAACUUGAUCAGUCUAGCAUGCAAGGUUAAAAGAACUUAAGAAGAGUGGACGGUAUCGAGACAUUCAUCCGACGGACUAGAGGAAGUCAGACUAUGUUUAGUAAACUUGAUCAGUCUUGCAUGCAAGGUUAACAAGAACUUAAGAAGAGUGGACAGUAUCAAGACGUUCAUCCAACGUACAGGAGAAAGUCAGACCACAUUCAGUAAACUUGAUCAGUCUAGCAUGCAAGGUUAAAAGAACUUAAGAAGAGUGGACGGUAUCGAGACAUUCAUCCGACGGACUAGAGGAAGUUAGACCACAUUCAGUAAACUUGAUCAAUCUAGCAUGUAAGGUUAACAAGAACUAAGGGACAAUAGUCAAGAUCAAUGACUCCCUCCCAAGGAUUAGAGCUUUAUAGGAUUGAUUGAAAUGUUUGGUAAUCUUGAUCAAUCUUAGGUACAAGGUUAACACGAACUAAGGAAGAGCGGACUGAAUCAACUUUAUCCAGACGUUUACAUGACAAAUUGGAGGGACUCUGACCCUAUUAUAAGUUCUUGCAAUGCUCAGCUGAAUGGUUCACUUGUUAAGAACUAUACUACUUUAUAUCUGUUCUUGUCAUUCAACCUUUAUAAUUUGAGUCUUCUAUAUGAUUGUAUACCAAAUUAUGCUGGCCGGUGUAGUGAAUGACUUACAUGUAUUUGAUAACUGUACAGGAAUUGUACAGUAAAUCUAGGGAUGCGCUCUGAUAAUGCACGGGCAGUUGAUGCAGACCAAAAUACGCGUUUUUAAUGUAUUGCUAAAACACUAUCUAUUAUAAAUUGUAGGUGAUGUUAAUGCUGAUUUAGAGAAAAAGGGAUAUUGUAUUAUAGUUAGAAAGUUUAUUUCCUCAAUUCUGUAAUUAGUUGAACAUACCA